This is a long non-coding RNA of Mastomys coucha (southern multimammate mouse), 346 nucleotides long. RefSeq lists it as uncharacterized. NCBI's taxonomy places the organism in Eukaryota, Metazoa, Chordata, Mammalia, Rodentia, Muridae. The record is from RefSeq and is a predicted model, not a curated record. The transcript is spliced from 2 exons.
AACCAGGCCAGAUCUCCCCAGGCAUCGGAACCAGCAGUGGGACCGGGGGUGGCGCCAUUGGGGAUCCUACCGCGGCAGCGGCUUGGCUGCCUCAGCCUUCCGCUUCCGGCCUCGGCAACCGCCGGAAGCCACGCCCCUUGAUCGCGGUUGCUAGCAACUCUUGCGGAAUGAACGAGGUAGCCCCAGUGGCCUCUACGAUGGCAGAGCUCCGGUGGAGACUAGGUCUCACUAUAUAGGUCUGGUGCUGAUCUGGAACUUGCUAUGUAAGCUGGAGUGGCUUUGAAUUCACAGAGAUCAACCUGCCUCAGCCUCCUGAACACUAGGAUUAAAGGGAUGUCCCAUUAUA